Molecule: ribosomal RNA, 901 nt
Filed under: Wolbachia pipientis
Lineage: Bacteria; Pseudomonadati; Pseudomonadota; Alphaproteobacteria; Rickettsiales; Anaplasmataceae
Description: bacterial SSU rRNA
Rfam family: Bacterial small subunit ribosomal RNA
Source: RNAcentral
UUGUAACCCUGCUAUGGUAUAACUUAGUGGCAGACGGGUGAGUAAUGUAUAGGAAUCUACCUAGUAGUACGGAAUAAUUGUUGGAAACGGCAACUAAUACCGUAUACGCCCUACGGGGGAAAAAUUUAUUGCUAUUAGAUGAGCCUAUAUUAGAUUAGCUAGUUGGUGGAGUAAUAGCCUACCAAGGCAAUGAUCUAUAGCUGAUCUGAGAGGAUGAUCAGCCACACUGGAACUGAGAUACGGUCCAGACUUCUACGGGAGGCAGCAGUGGGGAAUAUUGGACAAUGGGCGAAAGCCUGAUCCAGCCAUGUCGCAUGAGUGAAGAAGGCCUUUGGGUUGUAAAGCUCUUUUAGUGAGGAAGAUAAUGACGGUACUCACAGAAGAAGUCCUGGCUAACUCCGUGCCAGCAGCCGCGGUAAUACGGAGAGGGCUAGCGUUAUUCGGAAUUAUUGGGCGUAAAGGGCGCGUAGGCUGAUUAAUAAGUUAAAAGUGAAAUCCCGAGGCUUAACCUUGGAAUUGCUUUUAAAACUAUUAAUCUAGAGAUUGAAAGAGGAUAGAGGAAUUCCUGAUGUAGAGGUAAAAUUCGUAAAUAUUAGGAGGAACACCAGUGGCGAAGGCGUCUAUCUGGUUCAAAUCUGACGCUGAGGCGCGAAGGCGUGGGGAGCAAACAGGAUUAGAUACCCUGGUAGUCCACGCUGUAAACGAUGAAUGUUAAAUAUGGGAAGUUUACUUUCUGUAUUACAGCUAACGCGUUAAACAUUCCGCCUGGGGACUACGGUCGCAAGAUUAAAACUCAAAGGAAUUGACGGGGACCCGCACAAGCGGUGGAGCAUGUGGUUUAAUUCGAUGCAACGCGAAAAACCUUACCACUUCUUGACAUGAAAAUCAUUACCCUAUUUCA